Molecule: ribosomal RNA, 314 nt
Filed under: uncultured bacterium
Lineage: Bacteria
Description: bacterial SSU rRNA
Rfam family: Bacterial small subunit ribosomal RNA
Source: RNAcentral
GAUGAACGCUAGCUACAGGCUUAACACAUGCAAGUCGAGGGGAAACGAUAUUGGAAGCUUGCUUCCGAUAGGCGUCGACCGGCGCACGGGUGAGUAACGCGUAUCCAACCUGCCCAUCACUUGGGGAUAACCCUUGCGAAAGUAAGACUAAUACCCAAUGACGUCUCUAGAAGACAUCUGAAAGGAGAUUUAAAAGAUUUUAUCGGGUGAUGGAUGGGGAUGCGUCUGAUUAGCUUGUUGCGGGUAACGGCCCACCAAGGCGACGAUCAGUAGGGGUUCUGAGAGGGAAAGGUUCCCCCCACAUUGGAACUGAG